GAUUAGGAAGCGAAAUCGCAUUUAGUUUCGGCCUAAAGCCUGGUGUUAAUCCACCCCUAAUCU
Molecule: transfer RNA, 63 nt
Filed under: Caridina pseudogracilirostris
Lineage: Eukaryota; Metazoa; Arthropoda; Malacostraca; Decapoda; Atyidae
Description: tRNA-Arg
Source: RNAcentral